AACGAACGCUGGCGGCAGGCCUAACACAUGCAAGUCGAGCGAGGACUUCGGUUCUAGCGGCGGACGGGUGAGUAACGCGUGGGAAUGUGCCCUUCUCUACGGAAUAGCCCUGGGAAACUGGGAGUAAUACCGUAUACGCCCUAUUGGGGAAAGAUUUAUCGGAGAAGGAUCAGCCCGCGUUGGAUUAGGUAGUUGGUGGGGUAAUGGCCUACCAAGCCGACGAUCCAUAGCUGGUUUGAGAGGAUGAUCAGCCACACUGGGACUGAGACACGGCCCAGACUCGUACGGGAGGCAGCAGUGGGGAAUCUUAGACAAUGGGGGCAACCCUGAUCUAGACAUGCCGCGUGAGUGAUGAAGGCCUUAGGGUUGUAAAGCUCUUUCAGCUGGGAAGAUAAUGACGGUACCAGCAGAAGAAGCCCCGGCUAACUCCGUG
This 433-nucleotide ribosomal RNA is filed under the name uncultured bacterium. RNAcentral's name for it is "partial 16S ribosomal RNA". It matches the Rfam family "Bacterial small subunit ribosomal RNA", at positions 29 to 507 of the family's 1533-position model. The record is from RNAcentral.